This 131-nucleotide small nucleolar RNA is filed under the name Peromyscus maniculatus bairdii (prairie deer mouse). Lineage: Eukaryota; Metazoa; Chordata; Mammalia; Rodentia; Cricetidae. The record is from RNAcentral.
AUGUAUAAAUAAGUUUUAAAACUCAAAAAUGUUCAAGAGAAAAGAUAUUUCUGAUGUGCUAAACAAACUUUUGGAGGUAAAUUAGCAGCACGACUACUUCUGCCACUGCUGUCAGUCACCUUCAGACAAGU